Molecule: unclassified non-coding RNA, 355 nt
Filed under: soil metagenome
Description: partial contains 5.8S ribosomal RNA, internal transcribed spacer 2, and large subunit ribosomal RNA
Rfam family: 5.8S ribosomal RNA (bases 1-120)
Source: RNAcentral
GAUGAAUAACGUAGCGAAAUGCGAUAAGUAGUGUGAAUUGCAGAAUUCAGUGAAUCAUCGAAUCUUUGAACGCACAUUGCGCCUUCUAGUAUUCUGGGAGGCAUGCCUGUUUGAGCGUCAUUAAACCUCUCUCAAGUAUGAUUACUUGGAUGUGAAGGAAGAGUACCUUAAACUUAAGGAGUGUUCUCCUUUGAAAUUGAUUAGCAGAUGGUAAUGUUAUUAAAUCCCUGAUGUUGUAAGAAAUAACAGUGGUUUUGUAGACUAUUAUCUAGCUUUAAAUUAUAAUUUUUAUUAUGGUUGACCUCAAAUCAGGUAAGGAUACCCGCUGAACUUAAGCAUAUCAAUAAGCGGAGGA